Phrynosoma platyrhinos (Desert horned lizard) is the source of this 69-nucleotide non-coding RNA. NCBI's taxonomy places the organism in Eukaryota, Metazoa, Chordata, Lepidosauria, Squamata, Phrynosomatidae. The record is from the annotation of a GenBank genome assembly.
AACCAGGUGUAGUGGUUCGAGUGUUCGACUAUGACUCUAGAGACCAGGGUUGGAAUCCGUGCUUGGCUA